Molecule: ribosomal RNA, 257 nt
Filed under: uncultured bacterium
Lineage: Bacteria
Description: partial 16S ribosomal RNA
Rfam family: Bacterial small subunit ribosomal RNA
Source: RNAcentral
GCAAGUUGAGCGAAGCUUUUUGGUAGUUUACUACUAGAAAUGACUGAGCGGCGAACGGUUGAGUAACGCGUGAGCAAUCUACCUUAAUUACUGGGAUAUCCCGAGGAAACUCGGAUUAAUACCGGAUAUUCUUAUUUUGUCACAUGAAGUAUUAAGGAAAGGUCAGCCGAACUAAGAUGAGCUCGCGUUCUAUCAGCUAGUUGGUGGGGUAAAAGCCUACCAAGGCUACGACGGAUAGCUGGUCUGAGAGGACGAUC